GAGUUUGAUCAUGGCUCAGGAUUAACGCUGGCGGCAUGCCUAAUACAUGCAAGUCGAACGGAGUAGCAAUACUUAGUGGCGAACGGGUGAGUAACACGUAUCUAAUCUACCAUUUAGUGGGGAAUAACUGUUGGAAACGACAGCUAAUACCGCAUAAUAUUGCUGGAUAAUUUCCAGUAAUGAAAGGAGCUUUCAAGCUCCGCUGAUUGAUGAGGAUGCGGCGCAUUAGCUAGUUGGUAGGGUAAUGGCCUACCAAGGCAAUGAUGCGUAGCCGAUCUGAGAGGAUGAACGGCCACAUUGGGACUGAGACACGGCCCAAACUUCUACGGAAGGCAGCAGUAGGGAAUUUUUCACAAUGGGCGAAAGCCUGAUGGAGCAAUGCCGCGUGACUGAUGAAGGUCUUCGGAUUGUAAAGGUCUGUUGUAAGGGAAGAAAUGGUAAAACAGGAAAUGGUUUUAUCUAUGACGGUACCUUACCAGAAAGCCACGGCUAACUAUGUGCCAGCAGCCGCGGUAAUACAUAGGUGGCAAGCGUUAUCCGGAUUUAUUGGGCGUAAAGGGUGCGUAGACGGUUUUGCAAGUCUGAGGUUAAAUUUAGGAGCUCAACUCCUAAUCGCCUUGGAAACUACAAGACUAGAGUAUAGGAGAGGUUAGUGGAAUUCCAUGUGUAGCGGUGGAAUGUGUAGAUAUAUGGAGGAACACC
Molecule: ribosomal RNA, 702 nt
Filed under: uncultured Spiroplasma sp.
Lineage: Bacteria; Bacillati; Mycoplasmatota; Mollicutes; Entomoplasmatales; Spiroplasmataceae
Description: bacterial SSU rRNA
Rfam family: Bacterial small subunit ribosomal RNA
Source: RNAcentral